This 111-nucleotide ribosomal RNA is filed under the name Phascolarctos cinereus (koala). Lineage: Eukaryota; Metazoa; Chordata; Mammalia; Diprotodontia; Phascolarctidae. The record is from RNAcentral.
GGCCAAGAGAAUUUCACCCUAAGAGCACCGUGUCUCGGAAGCUAAGCAGGGUUGGGCCAGCUUAGUACUUGGAUGGGAGGCCCGCCUGGGAAUACCGGGUUCUGUAGGCUU